Triticum aestivum (bread wheat) is the source of this 90-nucleotide non-coding RNA. The record is from Rfam. Lineage: Eukaryota; Viridiplantae; Streptophyta; Magnoliopsida; Poales; Poaceae.
CUAGUACUCCCUCCGUCUGGAAAUACUUGUCGGAGAAAUGGAUAUACAUCCAUUUCUCCGACAAGUAUUUUCGGACGGAGGGAGUAUAUA